GACGAACGCUGGCGGCGCGCUUAACACAUGCAAGUCGAGCGAGAACCAAGCCUUCGGGCUUGGGGACAGCGGCGAACGGGUGAGUAACACGUGGGUAAUCAACCCUUGACACUGGGAUAGCCCGGGGAAACCCGGAUUAAUACCGGAUACCCCAUCUGGCCUUCGGGCCGGCUGGAAAAGGUAGCUUCGGCCUCCGGUCAGGACGAGCCCGCGGCGGAUUAGCUUGUUGGUGGGGUAAAGGCCCACCAAGGCGACGANCCGUAGCUGGUCUGAGAGGACGAUCAGCCACACUGGGACGUGAGACACGGCCCAGACUCCUACGGGAGGCAGCAGUGGGGAAUCUUGCGCAAUGGGCGAAAGCCUGACGCAGCGACGCCGCGUGAGGGAAGAAGGCC
RNAcentral lists this ribosomal RNA (395 nucleotides) under uncultured bacterium. Its description in RNAcentral is "bacterial SSU rRNA". It matches the Rfam family "Bacterial small subunit ribosomal RNA", at positions 28 to 416 of the family's 1533-position model. The record is from RNAcentral.